UACAUGCAGUCGAGCGGACCGACGGGAGCUUGCUCCCUUAGGUCAGCGGCGGACGGGUGAGUAACACGUGGGUAACCUGCCUGUAAGACUGGGAUAACUCCGGGAAACCGGGGCUAAUACCGGAUGCUUGAUUGAACCGCAUGGUUCAAUUAUAAAAGGUGGCUUUCAGCUACCACUUGCAGAUGGACCCGCGGCGCAUUAGCUAGUUGGUGAGGUAACGGCUCACCAAGGCGACGAUGCGUAGCCGACCUGAGAGGGUGAUCGGCCACACUGGGACUGAGACACGGCCCAGACUCCUACGGGAGGCAGCAGUAGGGAAUCUUCCGCAAUGGACGAAAGUCUGACGGAGCAACGCCGCGUGAGUGAUGAAGGUUUUCGGAUCGUAAAACUCUGUUGUUAGGGAAGAACAAGUACCGUUCGAAUAGGGCGGUACCUUGACGGUACCUAACCAAAAAGCCACGGCUAACUACGUGCCAGCAGCCGCGGUAAUACGUAGGUGGCAAGCGUUGUCCGGAAUUAUUGGGCGUAUAGCGC
This 534-nucleotide ribosomal RNA is filed under the name Bacillus licheniformis. Its description in RNAcentral is "bacterial SSU rRNA". It matches the Rfam family "Bacterial small subunit ribosomal RNA", at positions 52 to 568 of the family's 1533-position model. The record is from RNAcentral. Lineage: Bacteria; Bacillati; Bacillota; Bacilli; Caryophanales; Bacillaceae.